RNAcentral lists this unclassified non-coding RNA (291 nucleotides) under uncultured Mycobacteriales bacterium. RNAcentral's name for it is "uncultured Corynebacteriales bacterium contains 16S-23S intergenic spacer region". Lineage: Bacteria; Bacillati; Actinomycetota; Actinomycetes; Mycobacteriales. The record is from RNAcentral.
UCCGGUUUGUCACCGGCAGUCUCAUUAGAGUGCCCAACUAAAUGUAGCAACUAAUGACAAGGGGGGCCGUAUCUCUACGGCUUUCCGGUAUAUGUCAAACCCAGGUAAGGUUCUUCGCGUUGCAUCGAAUUAAUCCACAUGCUCCGCCGCUUGUGCGGGCCCCCGUCAAUUCCUUUGAGUUUUAGCCUUGCGGCCGUACUCCCCAGGCGGGGCGCUUAAUGCGUUAGCUACGGCACGGAUCCCGUGGAAGGAAACCCACACCUAGCGCCCACCGUUUACGGCGUGGACUAC